RNAcentral lists this small RNA (125 nucleotides) under Marmota monax (woodchuck). Lineage: Eukaryota; Metazoa; Chordata; Mammalia; Rodentia; Sciuridae. The record is from RNAcentral.
GCCAGGUGCAGUGGCACACACCUGUAAUCCCAGCGGCUCAGGAGGCUGGGACAGGAGGAUUGUGAGUUCAAAGCCAGCCUCAGCAAUAGUGAGGUGCUAAGCAACUCAGUGAGACCCUGUCUCUA